UUUUUCUUUUUCUUUUUUUCUUUUUUCUUUCCUUUUUUUUUUAACCUGCCGUUGAGAUGGAGAGGCUGCAAGAAAGAGUCCUGAAGAAGAAAAGCCUGGAGUGCUGGAAGUAA
This 113-nucleotide non-coding RNA is filed under the name Triparma pacifica. The record is from RNAcentral. Lineage: Eukaryota; Bolidophyceae; Parmales; Triparmaceae.